ACAAACCCACCGAACCACUGUUUUGCGCUCACUCCGCUGACUCUGAUUCGCAUCAAAACAAAACAACAGGCCACGCCUACUUGAAUCAAAUUGAAUCCAUUUCCUCAUUCUAUUGCCGCAUUAAGUCUCAAACAACUAACCAUAUUUCAUUUGUCUCACUCUUUAUAUAUAGUUAGUUUUGACAUUACCUCCUUCAAAUCACACAUCAAAUUAAGACCCUCUCAUCUGCUCCAUCACAAAACAAAGAACCUUGUAAUAAUAAUUCCUCUAUUAUGGCUUCGAUUGUUCUUCUGGUUUCAGAACUUGUUAGGAACCAUGAUUGGGAUGCUGCAUCUCUAAUAGCAGCAUAUCCUCCUCCCUCAUUGUCUUCAUCUUCUUCUUCAUCAUGUGCUGCAGCUAUGAGAAACAGCAAUAACAACAACAGCCGCCAUAGAACUCAAGAGAACACGCUUAUUUUGGAGAAUCCAGUGGAGUCACGGGUCUCUGUCGAUUUCGUUUGGCCUUGAAAUUAUUAAUGGAUCGUCUUUCCUCUUCAUCUUUCAGUAUGGUGUAUUUUUUUCUUUUUUCUCCGAAUUGUCGGGAAAUUUGAUGAUUACGUUGCACGAUAAUGUACAUAUUAGUGUGAAGUAUCAUGUUUAUUUGCAUCAAAUUUAUCAGAAGUAUGUUCCUUUAUGACGAUGAAAUUGAUCGAUCAAUUCAUGGCAGUUUUUUCCGCCCUCUCUUUAGAGAUACUUGACUACUGAGAGAUAAUCAGAUAAG
Molecule: long non-coding RNA, 759 nt
Filed under: Arachis ipaensis
Lineage: Eukaryota; Viridiplantae; Streptophyta; Magnoliopsida; Fabales; Fabaceae
Description: long non-coding RNA (AIPA_LNC001540)
Source: RNAcentral